CGUGCUCUCGCGGGGAUGCUUGUGCUCUCGCGGUAACGCGCAUGGUCUCGCGGGACAUGCGCUGGAGGGUAUGCGCGUACUCCCGCGGUCCUGGAGGCAGAGCUGUGGUGUCCUCGCGCGCAGGCUCUGGCGGAGGGCGUGGCGCCAGUCCCCUGGCGGCUGCCGGACCCUGGUUGUGGCCACAUCCCCCCAUCCUCCGAGUGUUUGCAUUCCUGCAUGAUGAACUCAGAGGGGAAAACAGAAGGAUGAAGUAAGCUGAGAGAGACUAUACCAACAAGUGGACAACGACAGUCUACCCAGUCAUUCAGCAAGUAUUGACUGCUAGCUACAGAGGAUAGUUUGCAGGGAGGGGGACAAAACUGAGAUCGGGGCACCACGACCUCGUGUGGCAGCAGAGAGGUCACUGUGCAUGGAACUCGAGAAAUGAGGAAACAAGCACUACAACGUGGCUGCGAUCUAGACGAGCCGAGUAAGAAGACUGGUGCCGCCGCGGGACAGACGGGACUUCACCGUCGGCUUCCCCAGAGAGAGGAUACACCACAGCUUCCAAAACCUCGUUGAGCAAAUGGGGCCCAGGUGUGCAAGCGGGAUGCUGGUUCCCUCAGCCCUUCCUGCCAUCCAACCCUCCUCUCUCUAGGCUUUUCACUGCUGAAGGUAUUCUCUCCCUCCUCCCCUAGUGUUUCUCAAUUUUUUUCUAGUAGGAUCCGUAAUUAGAAACGCUAUUCACAUCACAACCCUUACUUAUUUGUAAUGCAUGCUGACAUUUUGCAACCUAUUCUUUCAUCUAAAUUGAAAUUCUAGUUGUGAUCCACUGAAGUGAUUCAUGGCCCACAAGCAUCACAACCUGCAAUUUGAAAAACUCACCACCUUUGACCUUACACUUAAACUUCAAGUACCAACCCAAGAUGUAAAUUUCAAUUAUAUCUUAUACUGACCACUUCUUGCCUUUCUGUCUCAUUUUCUCUUGCCUACUGGCAAAUUAUUUAACGUGUCUCUUUCCUCCUCACCUCUACACCUCCUUCCAUAUGCAGCCCAGGUUUCAUGGGUAGUCAUUAGAAUUACUAGCAAGGAUAGCCUUCAUUUCCUUUCCCCACUCCCAGCCCCUGGACAAAUCAAAAAUGCGCCACCACUUUCUCCAGACUCUGACUAUCUGUGGGUCAAGAACACCCCUGACUGUGCUCCUCUUUUUAACCCAUUCUAAACCAGACUUCUCCCCCCACUCCACAGAAACCCUCUUGUGUCUCCGCAGACUCUAUGCUGAGAAAUCCAGUGGUCAAUUCUCAAUCUUCAGUUUGCCCACUUCUCAGGAGCAUUUGGCCCAGUUGAUAUUUCCUCUUCACAAAAACACAUUCUUCACUUUGCUUCCAGAAUACCACACCCUCCCAGUUUUCCUUCUACUUAAACACAGUUCCUUACUUCCUCAUCUUCCCAACCUCUAAAAUUUGGAGUUCCCCAGGGCUCUGAUGUGAGUCCACAUACGUUCUGUAUGUACACCCGCUGCCUGCCUGAGCUCACCUGAUGACGUGACGGUAAGAACCCUCUGCCCUGAUGCUUCCCAUACUUAGACCUCCAACCCCAUUUCCCACCAAGUGUAGUCAGUGAUGUGACUGAUGUCUCCUCCACUGAAUGUCUAAAAGGCAUGUGCUCACAGAUGCCUUGAUCUGCUCUCCAGCCUACAGAGCUGCUCCUUCUGCAUUUGUCCUCAUCUUGAUAAAAACACAGCAGUAAUUUGUUUUUCUUUUAUUUGUUUAUUUAUCUUGAAAGACAGCAAGUUGGGGGAGGGCAGGGAGAGAGAGAAUCCCAAGCA
Neofelis nebulosa (Clouded leopard) is the source of this 1807-nucleotide long non-coding RNA. RefSeq lists it as uncharacterized. NCBI's taxonomy places the organism in Eukaryota, Metazoa, Chordata, Mammalia, Carnivora, Felidae. The record is from RefSeq and is a predicted model, not a curated record. The transcript has 4 exons.